UUGUUGGGUAGGGGAGCGUUCUGUAAGCCUGCGAAGGUGGCCUGUGAGGGUUGCUGGAGGUAUCAGAAGUGCGAAUGCUGACAUAAGUAACGAUAAAGCGGGUGAAAAGCCCGCUCGCCGGAAGACCAAGGGUUCCUGUCCAACGUUAAUCGGGGCAGGGUGAGUCGACCCCUAAGGCGAGGCCGAAAGGCGUAGUCGAUGGGAAACAGGUUAAUAUUCCUGUACUUGGUGUUACUGCGAAGGGGGGACGGAGAAGGCUAUGUUAGCCGGGCGACGGUUGUCCCGGUUUAAGCAUGUAGGCUGGUUAUCCAGGCAAAUCCGGAUAAUCAAGGCUGAGGUGUGAUGACGAGGCACUACGGUGCUGAAGUAACAAAUGCCCUGCUUCCAGGAAAAGCCUCUAAGCAUCAGGUAACAUCAAAUCGUACCCCAAACCGACACAGGUGGUCAGGUAGAGAAUACCAAGGCGCUUGAGAGAACUCGGGUGAAGGAACUAGGCAAAAUGGUGCCGUAACUUCGGGAGAAGGCACGCUGGUGUGUAGGUGAAGUCCCUGCGGAUGGAGCUGAGACCAGUCGAAGAUACCAGCUGGCUGCAACUGUUUAUUAAAAACACAGCACUGUGCAAACACGAAAGUGGACGUAUACGGUGUGACGCCUGCCCGGUGCCGGAAGGUUAAUUGAUGGGGUUAUCCGUAAGGAGAAGCUCUUGAUCGAAGCCCCGGUAAACGGCGGCCGUAACUAUAACGGUCCUAAGGUAGCGAAAUUCCUUGUCGGGUAAGUUCCGACCUGCACGAAUGGCGUAAUGAUGGCCAGGCUGUCUCCACCCGAGACUCAGUGAAAUUGAACUCGCUGUGAAGAUGCAGUGUACCCGCGGCAAGACGGAAAGACCCCGUGAACCUUUACUAUAGCUUGACACUGAACAUUGAGCCUUGAUGUGUAGGAUAGGUGGGAGGCUUUGAAGCGUGGACGCCAGUCUGCGUGGAGCCAACCUUGAAAUACCACCCUUUAAUGUUUGAUGUUCUAACGUUGGCCCCUUAUCGGGGUUGCGGACAGUGUCUGGUGGGUAGUUUGACUGGGGCGGUCUCCUCCCAAAGCGUAACGGAGGAGCACGAAGGUUAGCUAAUCCUGGUCGGACAUCAGGAGGUUAGUGCAAUGGCAUAAGCUAGCUUGACUGCGAGCGUGACGGCGCGAGCAGGUGCGAAAGCAGGUCAUAGUGAUCCGGUGGUUCUGAAUGGAAGGGCCAUCGCUCAACGGAUAAAAGGUACUCCGGGGAUAACAGGCUGAUACCGCCCAAGAGUUCAUAUCGACGGCGGUGUUUGGCACCUCGAUGUCGGCUCAUCACAUCCUGGGGCUGAAGUAGGUCCCAAGGGUAUGGCUGUUCGCCAUUUAAAGUGGUACGCGAGCUGGGUUUAGAACGUCGUGAGACAGUUCGGUCCCUAUCUGCCGUGGGCGCUGGAGAAUUGAGGGGGGCUGCUCCUAGUACGAGAGGACCGGAGUGGACGCAUCACUGGUGUUCGGGUUGUCAUGCCAAUGGCACUGCCCGGUAGCUAAAUGCGGAAGAGAUAAGUGCUGAAAGCAUCUAAGCACGAAACUUGCCCCGAGAUGAGUUCU
This 1608-nucleotide ribosomal RNA is filed under the name Klebsiella quasipneumoniae subsp. similipneumoniae. RNAcentral's name for it is "bacterial LSU rRNA". It matches the Rfam family "Bacterial large subunit ribosomal RNA", at positions 1221 to 2812 of the family's 2925-position model. The record is from RNAcentral. Lineage: Bacteria; Pseudomonadati; Pseudomonadota; Gammaproteobacteria; Enterobacterales; Enterobacteriaceae.